UACCCGCAAACUUCGCUACGGUCUCCAGGAUGAGCCACAUACACCUAAGGAAACUUCCUUUACUCAGAGAUGCAUUGUUCUUGGAAUAGUCAUGAGUUUUUGCAAAGCGCAGGUCCCCAAUGAUGACAUUGAAUGAACUAUAAAAGAUCACUAAAGACUAAGGAAGAAAUCAGUGUAUAAACUGGACUUUGAGCCUAACUGGACUUCAAGUGGAGUCAAAAGUCACAAAUCUGAAAGGUGGUACUGAAUGCUUCUUAUGCCAAAAAUUUUUGCCGAGAAGGGAUUGACUUGAAGUGGGGAAUGCCCAAGUUAACUGAUUCUUCAGAUCAAAGUAUUGAGAACCCUAGA
Molecule: long non-coding RNA, 348 nt
Filed under: Ursus maritimus (polar bear)
Lineage: Eukaryota; Metazoa; Chordata; Mammalia; Carnivora; Ursidae
Description: lncRNA (ENSUMAG00000008172.1)
Source: RNAcentral